This is a long non-coding RNA of Syzygium oleosum, 1559 nucleotides long. RefSeq lists it as uncharacterized. The transcript has 2 exons. NCBI's taxonomy places the organism in Eukaryota, Viridiplantae, Streptophyta, Magnoliopsida, Myrtales, Myrtaceae. The record is from RefSeq and is a predicted model, not a curated record.
GGCUCUGAGGGUGCCAUUCUGGGUUUCUUUAAUUUCUUAUCACACAAAUUGGUCGCUCUGUCUCCUCUCUUUUUCUGUGGAAGAUGCCUGUUUGCUUCGUCUACUAAAAAAAUGUGAAAUUAUGAGGUUUUACCCUAUUUUGAUUAGAGAGUGAUAACUUUUUGCAGUCAGUGGUGAACUUCCUGGGCAGCUUAUCUCGUCCAAACAUUGUCAGGCUAAUGGGAUACUGUUUGGAGGAUAAAGAACUACUUCUUGUCCAUGAGUUCAAGCCAAAGGGUACCCUAAAGAACCAUCUCUUUGGAAGUAAGCUUCUUUCUUGGGCGAUAUAUACAUGCUUGCCUCAAAUUUAUGGUAAAUAUGAUCUUUUCUUGUUUCAAUGUACUACACAAAUCAUGUUUCUUUCCUGUUGCAAAGGGCGUCGGCCAUUAAACCACUUCCAUGGGUCACACGGAUUAAAAUUGCAAUAGGAGCAGCCAAAGUCCUCAUGUUCUUGCACUAGUUAGACAGGCAAAUAAUCUGCAGAGAUUUCAAGCCCUCAAACAUAUUGCUGGACUCAGUUUUCACAUAUAACACGAGAGUUAUCAUUGCAAAGCAUCUUCAAAACCUGAUUCGCCACCCAAGUAUGUUUUCAUUAUUUUUUGGUUGGGGGACUUUGUUGUUAUGCUCGUCUAAAAUUGCAUAUUCCCAAGCUACUCUUUUCAUAGGUAGUUUAUAAUACCAGUCAUUAGCCCGAGCUAAGCUUAUUAAAUCUGCAUUGUCCAAGUUUACUGGUGUAUAGAUCACGCUAGCAGUAGAAAAGAGACCUUAUUCACUUUGACCUUUUGUUUGGCAUGUGUUUCGACAGUCCUAUAAUGCCAAAAUAUCAGAUUUUCGUUUGGCAAGAAAAGGUCGAGACGAAGACAGAGCACAUGUGACGACACAGGUUAUUGGAACUUAUGGCUGCGCCAGCACCCAAGUACAUAGCCACAGGUAAUAUGAUGGGCUUUCUGAAUUGCUUGGGGUGAUCAUAGCAGAGAACAUUGCACUUUGGACUUAGUUUGACCAUGGCUGAAGCCAUGUUUAGCAAAUUCAUGCUAGAUUAUCACAUCAUUCUGGUUGAACAGGUCAUUUAUCUGUGAAAGGGCGAUGUCUAUAGCUUCGAGAUGGUACUGGUUGAGCUUUUGACUGGAAUGCAAUCGUAUGAUGGAAAUUGUCCGACUAAUUAGCAGAUUUUGGUGGAGGGGGUCUAACCUAAUCUUUCUAAAAGGUAAUUGAAUAGAAUCAUGGGCUCUCGACUGGAAGGGCAAUAUCCUCUGAAGGAUGCUCUUUACGUAGCCGCACUUGCAUUCCAAUGUCUCCGCUCCGCCCAAGCACCGGCCAUUGAUGAAUGAAGUCGUGGAAACCCUGGAAAGAAGUAGUUGCAGCUGAUAGGAAACACUGUCUCUUAGACGAUUGAUCCCAACUCGGCUGUCUUUCUCGGACACGGUCAGUAAUUCUUUAUUCAUCACCUCCGCUCAAUGCAGAUUCGUCUUCUGUACUCUAUGAACUAGCUUGGCCAAUGGAUAUGCUUGUUAGCACAA